AAAUUGAAGAGUUUGAUCAUGGCUCAGAUUGAACGCUGGCGGCAGGCCUAACACAUGCAAGUCGAGCGGUAGCACAGAGAGCUUGCUCUCGGGUGACGAGCGGCGGACGGGUGAGUAAUGUCUGGGAAACUGCCUGAUGGAGGGGGAUAACUACUGGAAACGGUAGCUAAUACCGCAUAAUGUCGCAAGACCAAAGUGGGGGACCUUCGGGCCUCAUGCCAUCAGAUGUGCCCAGAUGGGAUUAGCUAGUAGGUGGGGUAAUGGCUCACCUAGGCGACGAUCCCUAGCUGGUCUGAGAGGAUGACCAGCCACACUGGAACUGAGACACGGUCCAGACUCCUACGGGAGGCAGCAGUGGGGAAUAUUGCACAAUGGGCGCAAGCCUGAUGCAGCCAUGCCGCGUGUGUGAAGAAGGCCUUCGGGUUGUAAAGCACUUUCAGCGGGGAGGAAGGCGUUAAGGUUAAUAACCUUGGCGAUUGACGUUACCCGCAGAAGAAGCACCGGCUAACUCCGUGCCAGCAGCCGCGGUAAUACGGAGGGUGCAAGCGUUAAUCGGAAUUACUGGGCGUAAAGCGCACGCAGGCGGUCUGUCAAGUCGGAUGUGAAAUCCCCGGGCUCAACCUGGGAACUGCAUUCGAAACUGGCAGGCUAGAGUCUUGUAGAGGGGGGUAGAAUUCCAGGUGUAGCGGUGAAAUGCGUAGAGAUCUGGAGGAAUACCGGUGGCGAAGGCGGCCCCCUGGACAAAGACUGACGCUCAGGUGCGAAAGCGUGGGGAGCAAACAGGAUUAGAUACCCUGGUAGUCCACGCCGUAAACGAUGUCGAUUUGGAGGUUGUGCCCUUGAGGCGUGGCUUCCGGAGCUAACGCGUUAAAUCGACCGCCUGGGGAGUACGGCCGCAAGGUUAAAACUCAAAUGAAUUGACGGGGGCCCGCACAAGCGGUGGAGCAUGUGGUUUAAUUCGAUGCAACGCGAAGAACCUUACCUGGUCUUGACAUCCACAGAACUUAGCAGAGAUGCUUUGGUGCCUUCGGGAACUGUGAGACAGGUGCUGCAUGGCUGUCGUCAGCUCGUGUUGUGAAAUGUUGGGUUAAGUCCCGCAACGAGCGCAACCCUUAUCCUUUGUUGCCAGCGGUCCGGCCGGGAACUCAAAGGAGACUGCCAGUGAUAAACUGGAGGAAGGUGGGGAUGACGUCAAGUCAUCAUGGCCCUUACGACCAGGGCUACACACGUGCUACAAUGGCAUAUACAAAGAGAAGCGACCUCGCGAGAGCAAGCGGACCUCAUAAAGUAUGUCGUAGUCCGGAUUGGAGUCUGCAACUCGACUCCAUGAAGUCGGAAUCGCUAGUAAUCGUAGAUCAGAAUGCUACGGUGAAUACGUUCCCGGGCCUUGUACACACCGCCCGUCACACCAUGGGAGUGGGUUGCAAAAGAAGUAGGUAGCUUAACCUUCGGGAGGGCGCUUACCACUUUGUGAUUCAUGACUGGGGUGAAGUCGUAACAAGGUAACCGUAGGGGAACCUGCGGUUGGAUCACCUCCUUA
Molecule: ribosomal RNA, 1540 nt
Filed under: Klebsiella pneumoniae
Lineage: Bacteria; Pseudomonadati; Pseudomonadota; Gammaproteobacteria; Enterobacterales; Enterobacteriaceae
Description: bacterial SSU rRNA
Rfam family: Bacterial small subunit ribosomal RNA
Source: RNAcentral